AACGAACGCUGGCGGCGCGUCUUAAGCAUGCAAGUCGAACGGCAAGAGAGGAGCUUGCUUCUCUCCUAGAGUGGCGGACUGGUGAGGAACACGUGGGUAAUCUACCCUUAAGAUGGGGAUAGCUGCUAGAAAUAGCAGGUAAUACCGAAUACACUCGGCAUAUCACAAGAGGUGUUGAGGAAAGGAAGCUACGGCUUCGCUUGAGGAUGAGCUUGCGUCCCAUUAGCUAGUUGGUGAGGUAAAGGCCCACCAGGGCGACGAUGGGUAUCCGGCCUGAGAGGGUGAACGGACACAUUGGGACUGAGAUACGGCCCAAACUCCUACGGGAGGCAGCAGCUAAGAAUAUUCCGCAAUGGACGGAAGUCUGACGGAGCGACGCCGCGUGGAUGAAGAAGGCUGAAAAGUUGUAAAAUCCUUUUGUUGAUGAAGAAUAAGGGUGAGAGGGAAUGCUCAUCUGAUGACGGUAAUCGACGAAUAAGCCCCGGCUAAUUACGUG
This 496-nucleotide ribosomal RNA is filed under the name uncultured bacterium. RNAcentral's name for it is "partial 16S ribosomal RNA". It matches the Rfam family "Bacterial small subunit ribosomal RNA", at positions 29 to 507 of the family's 1533-position model. The record is from RNAcentral.